This 253-nucleotide ribosomal RNA is filed under the name uncultured bacterium. Its description in RNAcentral is "partial 16S ribosomal RNA". It matches the Rfam family "Bacterial small subunit ribosomal RNA", at positions 524 to 776 of the family's 1533-position model. The record is from RNAcentral.
UACGUAGGUGGCAAGCGUUGUCCGGAUUUACUGGGCGUAAAGAGCGCGCAGGCGGUCGUUCAAGUCGAGUGUGAAAGCCCCCGGCUCAACUGGGGAGGGUCACUCGAUACUGAUCGACUUGAAGGCAGGAGAGGGAAGCGGAAUUCCCGGUGUAGUGGUGAAAUGCGUAGAUAUCGGGAGGAACACCAGUGGCGAAGGCGGCUUCCUGGCCUGUUCUUGACGCUGAGGCGCGAAAGCUAGGGGAGUAAACGGG